This is a long non-coding RNA of Trematomus bernacchii (emerald rockcod), 610 nucleotides long. RefSeq lists it as uncharacterized. Lineage: Eukaryota; Metazoa; Chordata; Actinopteri; Perciformes; Nototheniidae. The transcript has 3 exons. The record is from RefSeq and is a predicted model, not a curated record.
AGGUCAGACGUUCAGGAGACACAGGGGAACCAUCAAUUAAUUUGCAACUGAGCAUAUUGUCUGUACAAAGUUUCAGAAGUUAAAAGCUCACGUGAUUGAGCUACUUCGUCUGAAACAUGACUGAAACUCUCUCUCUGCAUCUGGAUUUGCAUGCUCGACUGUUCCAGUGACUUUGACACAAAGUGGCUGAAGGUGAAGGUCGAGGUCACGCUGAUUUAAUGUCCUGUUUCUUUAAGAUGACACCAGAGCCAGGAGGAGCCGAGUGUGGGUGGACGGUCUUGUGGUCGUGACUGAGCCCUUUGACAGGAAAUGUAAUCAAGAUAGUGUAAUACGAGUUGGCAAAAGUAACUCACACAUCAUGGUUACUUCUCUAAAACGAAUAAAUGCUUCGUUUUCACAUGACUGUCACACACUCGCUGCUGCCAUGGUAACCUGCAGAGGAAGGAGAGAAAGUGCAGGAAAGAGAGAGAGGGGGGAUACUCGCUGCUUUUAGGAGUAGCAGGAAGCUGCAUCGUCGGAGACAAGCCCCCGGGAAGUGCGCCGGAUUCUGAUGAGAAUAUUCGUUGUGGCCAAACGGCGGUACUACACUUCCGUUAGGUUGCUGGGCCCG